UCUCUCACAGUCCAGAGGGAACUAAGGU
This 28-nucleotide non-coding RNA is filed under the name Mus musculus (house mouse). The record is from RNAcentral. Lineage: Eukaryota; Metazoa; Chordata; Mammalia; Rodentia; Muridae.